RNAcentral lists this transfer RNA (76 nucleotides) under Clostridioides difficile. RNAcentral describes it as "tRNA-Arg". It matches the Rfam family "tRNA". From Rfam's summary of the family: Transfer RNA (tRNA) molecules are approximately 80 nucleotides in length. Lineage: Bacteria; Bacillati; Bacillota; Clostridia; Peptostreptococcales; Peptostreptococcaceae. The record is from RNAcentral.
GCGCUCAUAGCUCAACUGGAUAGAGUGUCUGACUACGAAUCAGAAGGUUAGGGUUCGAGUCCCUUUGGGCGCACCA